RNAcentral lists this small nucleolar RNA (80 nucleotides) under Pelusios castaneus (West African mud turtle). Its description in RNAcentral is "Small nucleolar RNA R38 (ENSPCEG00000018568.1)". It matches the Rfam family "Small nucleolar RNA R38". From Rfam's summary of the family: snoR38 is a C/D box small nucleolar RNA conserved across yeast, human, Arabidopsis and rice. It is encoded in the intron of elongation factor-1 gamma in both pombe and cerevisiae. snoR38 guides the methylation of 2'-O-ribose sites in 28S rRNA. The record is from Rfam by way of RNAcentral. Lineage: Eukaryota; Metazoa; Chordata; Testudines; Pelomedusidae.
CAGCGCUGGUGAUGAUGCAGAGUUAUCCCUGUCUGAAAAAGAAACCUUCCUUUGUGGAUUUCUGACUCACUGAAGCGUAG